Molecule: ribosomal RNA, 253 nt
Filed under: uncultured bacterium
Lineage: Bacteria
Description: partial 16S ribosomal RNA
Rfam family: Bacterial small subunit ribosomal RNA
Source: RNAcentral
GACGUAGGGCGCGAGCGUUGUCCGGAUUUAUUGGGCGUAAAGAGCUCGUAGGCGGCUUGUCGCGUCGGCUGUGAAAACCCGCGGCUCAACUGUGGGCGGGCAGCUGAUACGGGCAGGCUGGAGUUCGGUAGGGGAGACUGGAAUUCCUGGUGUAGCGGUGAAAUGCGCAGAUAUCAGGAGGAACGCCGGUGGCGAAGGCGGGUCUCUGGGCCGAUACUGACGCUGAGGAGCGAAAGCGUGGGGAGCGAACAGG